RNAcentral lists this ribosomal RNA (404 nucleotides) under uncultured bacterium. RNAcentral's name for it is "bacterial SSU rRNA". It matches the Rfam family "Bacterial small subunit ribosomal RNA", at positions 355 to 776 of the family's 1533-position model. The record is from RNAcentral.
UGAGGAAUCUUCCGCAAUGGGCGAAAGCCUGACGGAGCGACACCGCGUGAAGGAUGAAGCCUUUGUUGGUGUAAACUUCUUUUCUCUCGGAAGAUAAUGACGGUACGAGAGGAAUAAGGGGCGGCAAACUUCGUGCCAGCAGCCGCGGUAAUACGAAGGCCCCAAGCGUUAUCCGGAAUUACUGGGCGUAAAGCGUCUGUAGGUGGUUUUUUAAGUCUUUCCGUGAAACUUCGGGGCUCAACCCUGAAUUGCGGGAGAAACUGGAAAACUUGAGUGUGGGAGGGGCUAGCAGAACGGUAAGAGUAGGGGUGCAAUCCGUUGAUACUUACCAGAAUACCAAAAGCGAAGGCAGCUAGCUGGAACACUACUGACACUGAGAGACGAAAGCGUGGGGAGCAAAAGGG